UAGCCGUAAACGAUACUCGCUAGGUGUCGGCCACGGUGCGACCGUUGUCGGUGCCGUAGGGAAGCCGUGAAGCGAGCCACCUGGGAAGUACGGCCGCAAGGCUGAAACUUAAAGGAAUUGGCGGGGGUGCACCACAACGGGUGGAGCUUGCGGUUUAAUUGGAUUCAACGCCGGAAAUCUUACCGGGACCGACAGCAACAUGAAGGCCAGGCUGAAGACUUUGCCGGAUUAGCUGAGAGGAGGUGCAUGGCGUAGUCGUGU
RNAcentral lists this ribosomal RNA (261 nucleotides) under uncultured archaeon. RNAcentral's name for it is "partial 16S ribosomal RNA". It matches the Rfam family "Archaeal small subunit ribosomal RNA", at positions 748 to 1009 of the family's 1478-position model. The record is from RNAcentral.